This 2026-nucleotide unclassified non-coding RNA is filed under the name Hevea brasiliensis (rubber tree). The record is from RNAcentral. Lineage: Eukaryota; Viridiplantae; Streptophyta; Magnoliopsida; Malpighiales; Euphorbiaceae.
AAAACCUAUAAAUAAUGGCUGUUACGUAGCGUAACGGCCUUUUUUUGAAACUAUAGAUUGAGGUAACCUUAUCUAGUGGUUACUCGCAAUUUCUUUUUUUCCUUACGCAAUGCAUGAGAAGUGCACAAAAGGUAUCAAAAUAAGUGGUGAUGGAACUUAAGCUGGAAUAUAGGGGUAAUAUCUUUCUGUUGCUAACAUGUUGUAUUUGCUUGCUUAAGCCUGUUUAAAAUUGCAAGUGUAACCCAGCACUAUUUAGGAGCUAGAGCUAGGUUUCUGCUGUUGGCACCUAAUUCCUAAAACACAAAAUGCCAUGGUGGAUUUGAGAUUUUUUUGGUUAAAAAUUAAUUUUUUUGCUUUUAUAUGAGCGUCUUGAAUACUUAUUAUGAUAAUGUGUAAUAUAAUUAUGGCAAUAUAACAUUGAAGAUCUAACUUUGUAGGUAGAAAUAGAAACAAGAUAAAUUAUGCUUAUUACUUUUAACUACUAAAAGCAUGGUUUCAGAAAACGGUUUUUACGUUACGUGACGGCCGCUAUUAAUAGAAUUAUUGUUCUGAGUUGAAGGCUUUUAGAAUUAUUGUUUAAAAACUUGUCAUGAUAGAAUUAAAACCAUGAGUAAAAGUGGGUUACAUCAUCUGAUAAAAAAUGAUAUGCAGCUAGUGCCAACACUUGUCAUGAGCAAAAAGUAGCCUAGAAUCUUUGUUGCGAUGUUACUUAAGGUGAAUGUGAUGCAAAUUUAUAAAUUGAAAGGCUUAAUCCAUUGUUCCUUUUCCAUUAUAAAGUAAUUCUAUAAGCCACUUUAUAAAUGUUGAUGUAAUAUACACUUAAAACAUCUCCAAGUUAGGUAUUAAUGCAGCUAUAAAUUUGAUAAAAAUUUAACUGUGUUUUUAUUUUCAUAAACAUUUCAAGAAAGAAGUUGACUGACUACAACUUUGAGAAUCUAUCACAUCCUGAAAAAUAUGGGAACAAGAACUAUGAUGUGGAAACAAAUGAUGUUAUGUGUGCUUUCAUGCCUGUACAAUUUGGCUGACAGGCAGUCAGCUCAUGAUUUGAUUGUACAAAUUAAUACAAUCCUUUAGUUAUCAUGGUUUACCAUUUUAGAGUUCUCUUCUGUGGUUGGCUACUAGUUUCCUUGUUCCUGUAAUGUAAUUGACAAAUACAAUGUUUUCCAUGUGCAGAAUGGAGACAUUGAAGAGACAUCUUCCAUUUUCUGGUCAAGAGGGACUAGAUGAACUCAAGAAAAUUGCUGAGCGGUUUGAGGAAAAGAUUUACACUGCUGCCAUAAGCCAGUCAGAUUAUCUACGGAAAAUAUCUUUGAAGAUGCUUACAAUGGAGUCCAAGUCCCAAAAGCCCCAAGAUCACAAUCAAGGGCAGUCACUUACUAUGCCAUUGCAAGUUAAUCAGUCACGUCAGCAAUUGUUAUCCCAGAACAUUCAGAAUAAUAUUACAUCUCUUGGGUUUCAAAGUUCUCCCAGUUUAACAUCUGCACUGCCUGCUGUUUCUGGUUUAACACAGACUUCUAUACCUAGUGUUGUUGGCCAGAAUCCUAACUUGCAGAGCAUUUCUGGAGUUCCACAGAACACAGCAGGGAAUUCAACAGGACAAGGGGUAACCUCCAAUAUUUUUAACAAUUCUCAGAGACAAAUGGCGGGAAGGCAACAGGUUGUUCCCCAACAGCAGCAACAACAAUCCCAAAAUACUCCGCAAUAUCUUUAUCAGCAACAAUUACAGCAACAACUUAUGAAGCAAAAGAUCCAGCAAGGAAAUCGACCACAUUCACUUGUGCAAUCUCAAAUCCAACAACAGCAACAGCAGCAGCAGCAGCAGCAGCAGCAGAAGAAGAAGAAGAACCAGAGAACUUUUUGAAGGUAGUAGCCAUGAAUGUUGCUGGAAGUGAAGAAAUCUAGCUGUGAUGAGGAAGAGGGAGCUAGCUUACAAGUAAAAUGGUGAAGAAUGAUGUGGAAUGUGAGUAUUAGUAGCACAUCAUCUGCCAGUGGAAAAUUUAAUUGUGCCCUUUAUGGCCUUGUUUAA